UUAACAAAAACAUGUCCUUUUGAUUAUAAUUUAAGGUCUAAUCUGCCCACUGAGUAAUUAAAUGGCCGCGGUAUUUUGACCGUGCAAAGGUAGCAUAAUAAUUAGUUUCUUAAUUAGAAGCUGGAAUGAAAGAUUGAAUGAGAAAAUAACUGUCUCAAGUUAAUUUAAUUAGAAUUUUAUUUUUAAGUUAAAAAGCUUAAAUUUUAUUAAAAGACGAGAAGACCCUAUAGAGUUUUAUUAGAAUUUAUAUUAAAAAUACAUAGAUUAAAAUAUUUUAAAUAUAAAUUUUAAUUUUGUUGGGGUGACAAAAAAACUAAAUUAACUUUUUUUAUAUAAAAACAUUAAUAAAUGAUUUUUUGAUCCAAUUUUAUUGAUUAAAAGAUAAAAUUACCUUAGGGAUAACAGCGUAAUUUUUUUUGAGAGUUCUUAUCGAAAAAAAAGAUUGCGACCUCGAUGUUGGAUUAAAGUUAAAUUUUGGUGUAGAAGCUAAAAAUUUUAGGUCUGUUCGACCUUUAAAACUUUACAUGAUCUGAGUUCAGAC
RNAcentral lists this ribosomal RNA (541 nucleotides) under Eurymetopum sp. UPOL001189. RNAcentral describes it as "partial 16S ribosomal RNA". It matches the Rfam family "Bacterial large subunit ribosomal RNA", at positions 1804 to 2616 of the family's 2925-position model. The record is from RNAcentral. Lineage: Eukaryota; Metazoa; Arthropoda; Insecta; Coleoptera; Cleridae.